CGAAACAUCUCUGGUUUCUCGGCUUGACUUGGUUGAGUUUUCUUUUACUGAUUUGGUUUACUUGCAUGGAUGAAUUCCCUCCCUCUAUUUACUUAACUCAUGAUCCAAUUCUGGUAUAAAAUAGGGUAGAAUGCAUAUGUAAAGAUUGUUGAGCAUAGAGUACAUAUAUAUGUACAUAUUGUUGUACGGUCACAUUAAUUGUACAAGGCGCUGAAUGUUUUUUUAUCUUUUCCUAUAAAAACAACAAUGAUGUACAUAUAAAGGGUCUUUCAUAGAUUGUUAUGUUUGACGUAUAUACAACAAUGAUAUAUAAUUGUUAUAUGGC
Molecule: long non-coding RNA, 325 nt
Filed under: Hordeum vulgare
Lineage: Eukaryota; Viridiplantae; Streptophyta; Magnoliopsida; Poales; Poaceae
Description: long non-coding RNA (HVUL_LNC001816)
Source: RNAcentral